GGCUGAGGCUGCUAAGGGUCUUGGAUUUCCGCUGAGAGGUUCAACCGAUCUCUAGGAGGCGUGGCUCAGCCCGUUGGGUGCCACCGGCAGGUGACAGAUUCCUGCUUGCAGGAUUGUCAGCCUUCCUGGCUGCUGAAUUUGGCUCAAGCAGGUGAACCAAAUGUAUGGUUUGCGCCGAACUAGCGUGCGGAGGACUCGCUACCUAGAUUAGGAAAGGCGGCACAUUUCUGGGAAUUUGGUCCCGGCUCUUAGAGCCCUGAGUAUCUUUCCUAUGCCAGACCUGGAGCAGACGUCGGAGCUGGAGGGACUGGAGAGAUGGCUCAGCACUGAAGAGCACUGACUGCUCUUCCAGAGGACCUCGGUUUGAUUCCCAGCACCCACAUGACAAUGGACAGCUGUCUGUAACUACAGUUCCAAGAGAUCUGAACUCUUCUGGUUUUCUCAGGGACCAGGCAUGCACAUAGUACAUAGUCAUACAUUCAUGCAGACAAACACACAUAAAAUAAUUUUUAAAAAUUUCAAAUAAACUCCUUAGUCUCCAGUA
This is a long non-coding RNA of Peromyscus eremicus (cactus mouse), 544 nucleotides long. RefSeq lists it as uncharacterized. NCBI's taxonomy places the organism in Eukaryota, Metazoa, Chordata, Mammalia, Rodentia, Cricetidae. The transcript is spliced from 2 exons. The record is from RefSeq and is a predicted model, not a curated record.